CGCGUAAUCAACCUGCCCUUCAGAGGGGGACAACAGUUGGAAACGACUGCUAAUACCGCAUACGAUCUAACCUCGGCAUCGAGGAUAGAUGAAAGGUGGCCUCUAUUUAUAAGCUAUCACUGAAGGAGGGGAUUGCGUCUGAUUAGCUAGUUGGAGGGGUAACGGCCCACCAAGACGAUGAUAGGUAGGGGUUCUGAGAGGAAGGUCCCCCACAUUGGAACUGAGACACGGUCCAA
RNAcentral lists this ribosomal RNA (236 nucleotides) under uncultured bacterium. RNAcentral describes it as "partial 16S ribosomal RNA". It matches the Rfam family "Bacterial small subunit ribosomal RNA", at positions 114 to 334 of the family's 1533-position model. The record is from RNAcentral.